GCCUGGGUGGCUCAGUCGGUUGAGCAUCUGACUUCGGCUCAGGUCGUGAUCUCACGGUUUGUGGGUUCGAGCCCCGCGUCGGGCU
This 85-nucleotide transfer RNA is filed under the name Felis catus (domestic cat). RNAcentral's name for it is "tRNA-Arg (TCG) (tRNA-Arg-TCG-13-1)". It matches the Rfam family "tRNA". Rfam says of the family: Transfer RNA (tRNA) molecules are approximately 80 nucleotides in length. Their secondary structure includes four short double-helical elements and three loops (D, anti-codon, and T loops). Further hydrogen bonds mediate the characteristic L-shaped molecular structure. tRNAs have two regions of fundamental functional importance: the anti-codon, which is responsible for specific mRNA codon recognition, and the 3' end, to which the tRNAs corresponding amino acid is attached (by aminoacyl-tRNA synthetases). tRNAs cope with the degeneracy of the genetic code in two manners: having more than one tRNA (with a specific anti-codon) for a particular amino acid; and 'wobble' base-pairing, i.e. permitting non-standard base-pairing at the 3rd anti-codon position. Lineage: Eukaryota; Metazoa; Chordata; Mammalia; Carnivora; Felidae. The record is from Rfam by way of RNAcentral.